AAUCAACGCUGGCGGCGUGCCUAACACAUGCAAGUCGAACGCGAAAGGGGGCUUCGGCUCCUAAGUAGAGUGGCGUCCGGGUGAGUAACACGUAGGUAAUCUGCCUUCGGGUGGGGAAUAACCAGUCGAAAGAUUGGCUAAUACCGCAUAAUGCAGCGGCACCUAAUGGUGAUUAGUUGUUAAAGCGGGGGAUCGUAAGACCUCGCGCCUGAAGAGGAGCCUGCGGCAGAUAGCUAGUUGGUGAGGUAAUGGCUCACCAAGGCUUCGAUCUGUAGCUGGUCUGAGAGGACGGCCAGCCACACUGGCACUGACACACGGGCCAGACUCCUACGGGAGGCAGCAGUGGGAAUUUUGGGCAAUGGGCGAAAGCCUGACCCAGCAACGCCGCGUGAGGGAGGAAAUCCUUCGGGAUGUAAACCUCACAAG
This 426-nucleotide ribosomal RNA is filed under the name uncultured bacterium. RNAcentral's name for it is "bacterial SSU rRNA". It matches the Rfam family "Bacterial small subunit ribosomal RNA", at positions 32 to 438 of the family's 1533-position model. The record is from RNAcentral.